RNAcentral lists this ribosomal RNA (253 nucleotides) under uncultured bacterium. RNAcentral describes it as "partial 16S ribosomal RNA". It matches the Rfam family "Bacterial small subunit ribosomal RNA", at positions 524 to 776 of the family's 1533-position model. The record is from RNAcentral.
UACGUAGGUGGCAAGCGUUGUCCGGAUUUAUUGGGUUUAAAGGGUGCGUAGGCGGUCUUAUAAGUCAGUUGUGAAAUAUGGCAGCUUAACUGUCAAGGUGCAAUUGAUACUGUAAGACUUGAGUAUUGUUGAGGUAGGCGGAAUGGACGGUGUAGCGGUGAAAUGCUUAGAGAUCGUCCAGAACACCGAUAGCGAAGGCAGCUUACUAAAGAAUAACUGACGCUGAGGCACGAAAGUGUGGGGAUCAAACAGG